This is a non-coding RNA of Podarcis raffonei (Aeolian wall lizard), 82 nucleotides long. Lineage: Eukaryota; Metazoa; Chordata; Lepidosauria; Squamata; Lacertidae. The record is from the annotation of a RefSeq genome assembly.
GCCUCCACAGUUGUGAUAGCUCAGUCGGUAGAGCAUGAGACUCUUAAUCUCAGGGCUGUGGGUUUGAAUCCCACAUAGGGCA